GAUGAACGCUGGCGGCGUGCCUAAUACAUGCAAGUCGAGCGAAGCGGGGGCGGGUGAGUAGCACGUGGAUAACCUCCUAUAAGACUGGGAUAACUUCGGGGAACCGGAGCUAAACCGGAAACUUAUAGAUGGAUCCGCGCUGCAUUAGCUAGUUGGUAAGGUAACGGCGUACCAAGGCAACGAUGCAUAGCCGACCUGAGAGGGUGAUCGGCCACACUGGAACUGAGACACGGCCCAGACUCCUACGGGAGGGAGCAGUAGGGAAUCUUCCGCCAUGGGCGAAAGCCUGACGGAGCAACGCCGCGUGAGUGAUGAAGGUCUUCGGUGUGUAAAACUCUGUUAUUAGGGAAGCGGUACCUAAUCAGAAAGCCACGGCUAACUACGUGCCAGCAGCCGCGGUAAUUC
Molecule: ribosomal RNA, 405 nt
Filed under: uncultured bacterium
Lineage: Bacteria
Description: partial 16S ribosomal RNA
Rfam family: Bacterial small subunit ribosomal RNA
Source: RNAcentral